RNAcentral lists this ribosomal RNA (253 nucleotides) under uncultured bacterium. Its description in RNAcentral is "partial 16S ribosomal RNA". It matches the Rfam family "Bacterial small subunit ribosomal RNA", at positions 524 to 776 of the family's 1533-position model. The record is from RNAcentral.
UACGUAGGGGGCAAGCGUUGUUCGGAAUUACUGGGCGUAAAGGGCGCGUAGGCGGCUUAUCAAGUCAGGCGUGAAAUUCCCGGGCUCAACCUGGGGGCUGCGCUUGAUACUGGGAGGCUUGAAUCCGGGAGAGGAAUGUGGAAUUCCAGGUGUAGCGGUGAAAUGCGUAGAUAUCUGGAGGAACACCGGUGGCGAAGGCGGCAUUCUGGACCGGUAUUGACGCUGAGGCGCGAAAGCCAGGGGAGCAAACGGG